AGAGUUUGAUCCUGGCUCAGGAUGAACGCUAGCGGCAGGCUUAAUACAUGCAAGUCGAACGGCAGCACAGUGUAGCAAUACAUGGGUGGCGAGUGGCGCACGGGUGCGUAACACGUAUGCAAUUUGCCCAUAACUGGGGGAUAGCCCUCCGAAAGGAGGAUUAAUACCCCAUAACCCAGCGAGGUGGCAUCACUUUUCUGGUAAAUCUCCGGAGGUUAUGGAUGAGCAUGCGUCCGAUUAGCUAGUUGGUGAGGUAACGGCUCACCAAGGCAACGAUCGGUAGGGGGUCUGAGAGGAUGAUCCCCCACACGGGUACUGAGACACGGACCCGACUCCUACGGGAGGCAGCAGUAAGGAAUAUUGGACAAUGGAGGCAACUCUGAUCCAGCCAUGCCGCGUGAAGGAUGAAGGCCCUACGGGUUGUAAACUUCUUUUCUCUUAGAAAAAACUACUGGUUUCGUACCGGUACUGGAUUGUACAAGAGGAAUAAGCAUCGGCUAACUAUCGUGGCAGCAGCCGCGGUA
This 524-nucleotide ribosomal RNA is filed under the name uncultured Bacteroidota bacterium. RNAcentral describes it as "bacterial SSU rRNA". It matches the Rfam family "Bacterial small subunit ribosomal RNA", at positions 8 to 522 of the family's 1533-position model. The record is from RNAcentral. Lineage: Bacteria; Pseudomonadati; Bacteroidota.